Molecule: long non-coding RNA, 673 nt
Organism: Salvia splendens (bonfire salvia)
Lineage: Eukaryota; Viridiplantae; Streptophyta; Magnoliopsida; Lamiales; Lamiaceae
Exons: 2
Source: RefSeq, a predicted model, not a curated record
CUUCCCCCGUCUAACUCACUCUCAUUCUCACUCUAUCUCUCUCUCGCUCUCAACCCCUCGGAAUCCUAAUUCACGGCCGCCACCGCCUCCGACAAAAGGCCUCCCAACCGCUGCCUCCUCCUCCUCCCCACUCUCAGGAACCCUAGCCCCUAAUCGUCGGCCGCCUCCGCCGACCUCCACUGUCUCCUGCCCAAACACAUUCUAGAACAGCUGACCUCUAAUCUUAAUCCUCUUCAUCUUUCUCCUGCCCUUUAGCCUCCUGCGCCUGGAUGGAGUUUUUUUCCAGACUAAUUGUGUUUUCCUUAUUAAAUCUAUUUGGAUUAGUCAACACAGGCGAAGGCGACGACUGUGGCUGUGGGGCGACCUCCAUAAUGAGGGGAAUGAAUAGUUGAAUUGGAGCGUGAAUUUCGCCGUGUGUGUUGAUUUCUUUUGAUUUCGAUUCACAACAGAUUUGGAGUGUGGAUUUCGCUGUGUCUUGGCGUUUGAUCCUCCAGAUUGAUUUGUAUGUGAGCAAUACCAUGUAUUGUUUCAUUUAAUCCUCUAGAUAUGUGAGCAAAUUUAGCGUGAGUUGUUUCAUUUAAUUCUCCAAAUUUGGAUUUAAAAGCAGAAAUAAAAUCAGAACAUUGAUGUAUAAAAGCUAAAUUUAUAAAUUUGUGGGCUCUAAAUUCCACUA